RNAcentral lists this ribosomal RNA (253 nucleotides) under uncultured bacterium. RNAcentral's name for it is "partial 16S ribosomal RNA". It matches the Rfam family "Bacterial small subunit ribosomal RNA", at positions 524 to 776 of the family's 1533-position model. The record is from RNAcentral.
UACAGAGGUCUCAAGCGUUGUUCGGAUUCAUUGGGCGUAAAGGGUGCGUAGGCGGCGCGGUAAGUCGGGUGUGAAAUCUCGGGGCUUAACUCCGAAACUGCAUUCGAUACUGCCGUGCUUGAGGACUGGAGAGGAGACUGGAAUUCACGGUGUAGCAGUGAAAUGCGUAGAUAUCGUGAGGAAGACCAGUGGCGAAGGCGGGUCUCUGGACAGUUCCUGACGCUGAGGCGCGAAGGCCAGGGGAGCAAACGGG